Molecule: ribosomal RNA, 396 nt
Filed under: uncultured bacterium
Lineage: Bacteria
Description: partial 16S ribosomal RNA
Rfam family: Bacterial small subunit ribosomal RNA
Source: RNAcentral
AUACGUAGGGAGCGAGCGUUGUCCGGAAUUACUGGGUGUAAAGGGAGCGUAGGCGGGAGUGCAAGUCAGAUGUGAAAUACAUGGGCUCAACCCAUGGGCUGCAUUUGAGACUGCAUUUCUUGAGUGAAGUAGAGGUAAGCGGAAUUCCUGGUGUAGCGGUGAAAUGCGUAGAUAUCAGGAGGAACACCGGUGGCGAAGGCGGCUUACUGGGCUUUUACUGACGCUGAGGCUCGAAAGCGUGGGGAGCAAACAGGAUUAGAUACCCUGGUAGUCCACGCUGUAAACGAUGAUUACUAGGUGUGGGGGGACUGACCCCUUCCGUGCCGCAGUUAACACAAUAAGUAAUCCACCUGGGGAGUACGGCCGCAAGGUUGAAACUCAAAUGAAUUGACGGGG